RNAcentral lists this long non-coding RNA (1283 nucleotides) under Gallus gallus (chicken). Lineage: Eukaryota; Metazoa; Chordata; Aves; Galliformes; Phasianidae. The record is from RNAcentral.
CCGCAUCCGCCCGCUCCACCCGCUCGAUGGUCAGGGUGCCAGCGCGAACCAGCACCCCUGGGCGGAUCCGGCCCCCCACUUUGCUCCAGGUGACAUGGGGCUGUGGCUCGCCUAGCCCUAGGCACUCCAAUUCCACCUCCAUGCCCGCCAGCACCGUCUGCACCGCUGUCCGGAUGUUAAUCAGGGCCCUGGGAAGAGCCUGCACGGUGAGUGUGGCCCUGUCCUCCACCUGCCCAUGAAGAGUGCUGGCCCGGCACACGUACACCCCCUGUGCCCCUUGUGCCAACUCUGCGAUCCGCAGCACCCCAUCCUGCACACUGUGCCGGGGGGGCAGCUCCCCACCGUCCUUCAGCCACUCCAGGUGCACCCGCGGGUCUGAUGCGGUGCAGGCGAACUCAGCAGUGCUGCCCACCCCUCUCACCAGGCUCCCUGGUGUCACCCGCACGGCCAGGGGACCACCACUGUCACCACCACCAUCACCAUGGACAGUGACGCGGGCGAAGGUCUCGGCUCUGCCCACACGGUUAGUGACCAUGCAGCGAUAGGUGCCAGCAUCGGAGGGCAGUGCAGGGCUUAUGCGCAGGAGGCCGGCACGGGGCACAGCACGAGGGGACAGACUGCCAUUGAGCUUGUCCCAAGUGUAGAGCAGUGGCGGGGUGCCGUGGGCCAGGCACUGCAGCUGCACCGUGUCGCCCGCACGCACCGCGCUGUCCUCUGGUAAGCUUGUGGCGUAUGGAGGGGUCUCCACAUCCAGGGUGACGAAGACCUCCGUGAAGCCGGCGGGGCUGCUGGCAUUGCAGAUGUACUGGCCUGAGUCCUGCUGCGCAGCACGCGGGAUCACCAGGGUGCCAUUCACCACGCGGUGCUGCCAGGGCAGCGGUGCCCGCAGCUUCGACCACUCGAUCCUGGGCUCCGGCUCACCUGUGGCCGAGCAGUGCAGCGUAGCGGUGUCCCCAGCCACCACUGUGACAGUGGGCGGUGCAGUGACCCUGGGGGCCCCAGGGUGCCUCUGUGCCGUCUCCACGCUGACGUCCACGCGAGCUUGCGCCGAACCCAGGGCACUCUGUGCUGUGCAGAUGUAGGUCCCGGCGUGCUCUGGUUUGGCUGGAGAGAGCUGCAGCACGGCCUGGCUGUCCAUGUGCAGCAGCGUCUGGUGCUCCACCUUCUGUCGUGAGCCCAGUCGGCUCCAGCGCACCAGGGGCCGUGGCUCUCCCCGGCCCAGGCACUCCAGGCUAAGAGAUUUGCCCUCCUUCACCGUCACAGGGCCUGGUGGCAUUACUGAC